This 252-nucleotide ribosomal RNA is filed under the name uncultured bacterium. RNAcentral's name for it is "partial 16S ribosomal RNA". It matches the Rfam family "Bacterial small subunit ribosomal RNA", at positions 524 to 776 of the family's 1533-position model. The record is from RNAcentral.
UACGGGGGGGCAAGCGUUGUUCGGAAUUACUGGGCGUAAAGGGCUCGUAGGCGGCCAACUAAGCCAGACGGGAAAUCCCUCGGCUUAACCGGGGAACUGCAUCUGAUACUGGAUGGCUUGAGUUUGGGAGAGGGAUGCGGAAUUCCAGGUGUAGCGGUGAAAUGCGUAGAUAUCGGGAGGAACACCAGUGGCGAAGGCGGCGAUCUGGGAAGAUACUGACGCUGAGGUGCGAAAGCGUGGGGAGCAAACAGG